RNAcentral lists this ribosomal RNA (253 nucleotides) under uncultured bacterium. RNAcentral's name for it is "partial 16S ribosomal RNA". It matches the Rfam family "Bacterial small subunit ribosomal RNA", at positions 524 to 776 of the family's 1533-position model. The record is from RNAcentral.
UACGUAGGGACCGAGCGUUGUCCGGAUUUAUUGGGCGUAAAGAGCUCGUAGGCGGUUAUCCACGUCGGAUGUGAAAGCUCAGGGCUCAACCCUGAGAUGCCAUUCGAUACGGGAUAGCUAGAGGUAGGUAGGGGAAAGUGGAAUUCCUGGUGUAGCGGUGAAAUGCGCAGAUAUCAGGAGGAACACCGGUGGCGAAGGCGGCUUUCUGGGCCUUACCUGACGCUGAGGAGCGAAAGCUGGGGGAGCAAACAGG